AUGCAUUUUUCCUGCAACGGAAUUGAUUUUAACCAUCAUUUAAAUUUAUAACAUGUGCCAGCUUCCAGGGUUUUGUUACAUUACAGAAUUUAGAUGCCCGGUCUCCGCUUUCAAAUUAUCUGAGUACCGGGUAUGGACUCUUGCUUGAAAUGCAAACGUGAUUAUUCUGUCGCACACUCUUCAACAGAAUGGCCUGAACUGGAAAUCCUCAUGUAAUAGAGAUGAACAACUAUUCUUCCUGCUGGCUCAAACACAGUUAUGCAAACAUGCUAAUGACGGACUUCAAAGGCAGCCGGGGAAGAAGCUUUCCUGUCUUCUGUGCCAGAAGGAGAGGCGAGGCUCUUUACCGCUCAUAUGGGAGAGAUGAGGAGCCUUUGAACGGAUCAUUGCUUUUUAUGAGUAGUAAUGAGGUGAGAAGGAUUCUAGUGUGUGGUACAGGCCUUCAUUAAAAAGCGUGAAACAGAAUGGCUUACGGUUACGGGGGGUAAUUUGUUCUAACAUACUUGCUAAAUUGUGCUGUAACCAUGCCAGUUAACAGCACUCUAUUUUCCAUAGGAUUCCUGAAUGCAUUUGUGUGCAGUUAUUCUGGCCAUGCAACAUUCAGGGAUUUUUCCUAUCACUUAUGCCACCUACUCGACAAUGUUCACUCGCUCCACUGAAAGUAUAUGGAACACCAUGGUUAAAGAUGGGAAAAGGAUCCAGAGAUAUUCUCACUCUCCUCCCAAAGUCAAAGGGUU
Molecule: long non-coding RNA, 737 nt
Filed under: Ovis aries (sheep)
Lineage: Eukaryota; Metazoa; Chordata; Mammalia; Artiodactyla; Bovidae
Description: lncRNA (ENSOARG00000025795.1)
Source: RNAcentral